This 46-nucleotide non-coding RNA is filed under the name Trichobilharzia regenti. Lineage: Eukaryota; Metazoa; Platyhelminthes; Trematoda; Strigeidida; Schistosomatidae. The record is from RNAcentral.
GUACUUCCGAAGAGUCCCAAAUACGGACGAAACAGCUGUCUAGUAC